RNAcentral lists this ribosomal RNA (382 nucleotides) under uncultured eukaryote. Its description in RNAcentral is "bacterial SSU rRNA". It matches the Rfam family "Eukaryotic small subunit ribosomal RNA", at positions 592 to 970 of the family's 1831-position model. The record is from RNAcentral.
CAAUAGCGUAUAUUAAAGUUGUUGCGGUUAAAAAGCUCGUAGUUGGAUUUCUGUCGGUGAAUAUCAGUCCGCCCACAGCGGUAGGUACGUGAUAUUUCACCGGCAUCUUCCUGGGGAAUGUGUCUGCUCUUUAUUGAGUGGUACAUAAGCCAGGACUUUUACUUUGAAGAAAUGAGAGUGUUUCAAGCAGGCAUGCGCCGUGAAUACGUUAGCAUGGGAUAAUAGCAUCGGACCUCGUUCCAAAGCUGUUGGUUUCUUGGACCGAGGUAAGGUGAUAGGAGUUGUUGGGGGCGAUUCGUAUUUGUACUGUCAGAGGUGGAAAUUACUUUGGAGUUUGUUUGAAGAACGGACUACUGCGAAAGACAUCUGCCAAAGAAUGUUC